This 301-nucleotide ribosomal RNA is filed under the name uncultured bacterium. RNAcentral's name for it is "partial 16S ribosomal RNA". It matches the Rfam family "Bacterial small subunit ribosomal RNA", at positions 509 to 807 of the family's 1533-position model. The record is from RNAcentral.
CAGUAGCCGCGGUAAUACGAAGGGUGCAAGCGUUAAUCGGAAUUACUGGGCGUAAAGCGCGCGUAGGUGGUUCAUUAAGUUGGAUGUGAAAGCCCUGGGCUCAACCCCGGAACCGCAUUUGAAACUAGGUGACUAGAAUCUUGGAGAGGUCAGUGGAAUUCCGAGUGUAGCGGUGAAAUGCGUAGAUAUUCGGAAGAACACCAGUGGCGAAGGCGACUGACUGGACAAGUAUUGACGCUGAGGUGCGAAAGCGUGGGGAGCAAACAGGAUUAGAUACCCCUGUAGUCCCUGUCUCUUAUAC